UACGUAGGAUGCAAGCGUUGUCUGGAUUUAUUGGGUUUAAAGGGUGCGUAGGCGGCCUAUUAAGUUAGUGGUGAAAACGUUCGCAUUAACCGAAUACCCGCCAUUGAUACUGAUAGACUUGAGUGCGACAGAGGGUGUUGGAAUGUGUGGUGUAGCGGUGAAAUGCUUAGAUAUCACGCAGAACACCAAUUGCGAAGGCAGAUGCCUAUGUCGUAACUGACGCUGAGGCACGAAAGCGUGGUGAGCAAACAGG
This 253-nucleotide ribosomal RNA is filed under the name uncultured bacterium. RNAcentral's name for it is "partial 16S ribosomal RNA". It matches the Rfam family "Bacterial small subunit ribosomal RNA", at positions 524 to 776 of the family's 1533-position model. The record is from RNAcentral.